AUGGGGUGGGGGCUUCGGAAAGAACCUCCGUACGGGACCCCAAGGCAAAGCUCUGCCCCGCAGCCCGGCCUCAGCCCCACGGGACCGCCCCUCCCCGGCCCCGCAAGAGGAGGGGAAGCGGAGGAGGAAGAGGAAGAGGAAGAGCCGCGGUCCCGCCGCGCUGCAGUGGGUGCGGGCGCGGGGCGCGGGGUGAUUCAUACCCCACCGCAUCACCGGGGCGGGGGAGACGGCGCAGCUGUGGGGCCGAGCAGAAGAAAGGGGAAGCAAAACCUCCCCCGGCCGCUCACCCGGGGCAUCCCCCCCCCCAACCUGGGGCUUUCCGUGGGGCCGCGGGCUGCUCUGCUGGCAUCGGCACGGCGAGCGUUACUGCGGCACCGCGCACCCCACCGAGCGCAUCCAACCCUGUGCGCCCCGCACCGCGCCCUGCGCGCCACGCAGCUGCCGCCGCUGCCCCACUUUUCCUGCGGUCCCUUCCAGCUCAGAGCUGGGGACACCAAACCGGACGCGGGGACCCAACGCACGACCUCGGGUGGCACCGAUGAGACGCGCUGCGGGGGUCCCGUAGGCGGUGCGCACCGGGCGGGGCUCCGUCCCCGCCGUCCCCGGGCCGGGGGAACACCUCGCUGCGCACCCACCGGCCGCGCUGAGCCGGGCGAUUUGGGUUUUCCUGCCGUGGGGCUGCGGGUCCGACCGGACCCCGUGCAUCACCUCGGCAGCUCCGGGGCAUUUGCACUAACAACCCCACUGGCACACUCAGCCCCACAUUGGCACACUCAGCCCCAUUGGCACACUCAACCCCACAUUGGCACACUCAGCCCCAACCAUGCACCGGGGGCACUUUGGAGAUGCAGGCAGGCAGUAGGACCUCACAUAGCCCACAUAGUGCACCAACCCUCCCUAUGUGAGAGGACGAGGAUGGAAGACCUCCAGCAGAGCAAGAUGGGGCUCCAGGACAGCAGCAACGCCCUCAGCCUCAACUCCCCCAAUCUGAGCUAUGGGUACAACUGAGUGCGGACCCCCCAUUCCCCAACAUCCCGGCGCCACACGGGGAGCACCGCGGAUGGCUUCUGCCGUGGGACAGAUGGACGCCCUUCUCCUGGCUCUGCUGCCCGCUCCCCCCAUCAGACCCCGCCCUCACAGCCCACCCCGCGCCCCCCGCGCUCACCCCGGCCCAUGGUGGGGUGCACAGUGGGGGGGUCCUCCGCUCCGCUCCGCGCCGCUCCGAGCCGUUCGGUCCCUCCCGACCCCGACCGUUCCUCCCGCCGAGCCCGGCCCGCCCCCGCCGCUUCCUUCCUGCCUCGGCCCGGAGUGGGGGGGUGUCAUAGGGCGGGGGGGGGGCGUGGGGAAGUGGAGGGUUUGGGGAGGGGAGGGGGAGCGUGGGAACGCGGGGGGGAAUUUCCUCUGUUGGGGCUACAAUCGUCCCCUCGAGGCGUCGCCCCCCAAACCCCACUGAGCCCCCACUCAGACACCCAUAGGAGGGAUGGGCGUCCUCCUGCCCCACAGUGCUGCCCUAUGGGGGCUGCUCCCCGUUCCUGUGCCCAUUCCGGUCUCUGUCCCCCCCUCAUCCCCACCCCAAUUCCCGUCCUUUUCCCCUUCCCAAUCACCAUCCCAGUUCCUCUCCCAUCCUAUCUUCAUCUCUGUUCCCAUCUCCAUUUCCAGGACCAUCUCACCCCCAUACUCAAACCCAAACUCUCGUCCCCAUUCCCAUCCCAUCUCAAUCCUCAUCUUAUUUCAUCCCAGUCCUUUCUCCAUCCUCAUCUCAUCCCAUCCCAUCCCAUCCCAUCCCAUCCCAUCCCAUCCCAUCCCAUCCCCUUCCCCAUCCUAUCUCCAUUACCAUUCUCCAUUACCAUUUCUUUACUCAGAGAGUGGUGAGGUGCUGGAACAGCUGCCCAGAGAGGCUGUGGAUGCCCCGUCCGUCCCUGGAGGUGUUCAAGGCCAGAUUGGAUGGGGCCCUGGGCAGCCUGGGCUGCUGUGAAAUGUGGAGGUUGGUGGCCCUGCCUGUGGUGGG
This 2008-nucleotide long non-coding RNA is filed under the name Phasianus colchicus (ring-necked pheasant). RNAcentral describes it as "lncRNA (ENSPCLG00000011272.1)". The record is from RNAcentral. Lineage: Eukaryota; Metazoa; Chordata; Aves; Galliformes; Phasianidae.